This 956-nucleotide long non-coding RNA is filed under the name Sinocyclocheilus anshuiensis. RNAcentral describes it as "lncRNA (ENSSANG00000012256.1)". Lineage: Eukaryota; Metazoa; Chordata; Actinopteri; Cypriniformes; Cyprinidae. The record is from RNAcentral.
UUAUAUGUAUUUUAUCAUAUCUGAAUAUGUUUAUAUUUUGACAAUUUCAGAAGUCAUCAAGGAGAAACCUAAACCAGCACCUGAAAAGAAAGGUAAGAGUUACCGAUAUUGUGGAUUGAUAUGUGCUCAAAUUAAAGACUAAUCUCAAAUUUACUCAAACUCAAAGAUGAUACUAAAGUUUUCUCAUUCUGUACAUAUUUUCAUUAUUUCAGAGACUGAAGUCAUCAAGGAGAAAGUUAAACCAGCUCCUGUAAAGAAAGGUAUGAAUAUCAGUGAAAUCAUCCUGCAUAUGCGUUUUUUUUCCCUCUCAAUGAUGACUGUUGUAUGAUGAUGGUUAUUAUAUUCAUGAAUUAAAACCGUUUUCUAGGGCCUGAAGUUGCUAAAAAAAGGCCCCUGAACUAAAACCCCCAAAUAUUAGAUUUUUUUUUCAACAUGGACCGAUAAUGUGUGCUUUCAUUGUAAAUUUUUUAGAGUUUUAGAGGAGUACAUUGACACUGUAUUAUAUGUAUUUAGACAUCUCUGAAUAUGUUUAUAUUUAAAAAAUUUCAGAAGUCAUCAAGGAGAAACCUAAACCAGUGCCUGAAAAGAAAGAGGCCAAAGUCAUCAAGGAGAAAGUUAAACCAGCUCCUGUUAAGAAAGAAGUCAUCAAGGAGAAACCUAAACCAGUGCCUGAAAAGAAAGCUGACGUCAUCAAGGAGAAAGUUAAACCGGCUCCUGUAAAGAAAGGUAUGAAUAUUAGUGAAAUCCUCCUGCAUAUGCUGUUUUUUUUCCUCUGAAUGAUGACUGUUGUAUGAUGAUGGUUAUUAUAUUCAUGAAUUAAAACCGUUUUCUAGGGCCUGAAGUUGCUAAAGAAAAGGUACCUGAACCGGCACCAAGAAUAGGUGAGAUUUCCACAUACAAAACUGAGAAAAAUAUUUCAUAUUCAAAAGCUAAAGAUGUUAAGAAUGUAUUAAACU